GAUUCCCCUAGUAACUGCGAGUGAAGCGGGAAAAGCUCAAAUUUAAAAUCUGGUGGUCAUUGGCCAUCCGAGUUGUAAUUUAGAGAAGCGUUUUCCGCGCUGGACCGUGCACAAGUCUCCUGGAAUGGAGCGUCAUAGAGGGUGAGAAUCCCGUCUUUGGCACGGAUGCACCAGGGCUUUUGUGAUGCGCUCUCGAAGAGUCGAGUUGUUUGGGAAUGCAGCUCAAAAUGGGUGGUGAACUCCAUCUAAAGCUAAAUAUUGGCGAGAGACCGAUAGCGAACAAGUACCGUGAGGGAAAGAUGAAAAGCACUUUGGAAAGAGAGUGAAACAGUACGUGAAAUUGUUGAAAGGGAAACGCUUGAAGUCAGUCGCGUCGACCGAGACUCAGCCUUGCCUCGGCUUGGUGUACUUCUCGGCUGACGGGUCAGCAUCAAUUUUGCCCCUCGGAUAAUGGCGAGGGAAACGUGACACCUUUAUGGUGUGUUAUAGUCUCUCGUCGGAUGCGAGGGUCGGGAUUGAGGAACUCAGCACGCGCCUUGAGCGUCGGGGUGUUUGCCCACGAUACGUGCUUAGGAUGUUGGCGUAAUGGCUUUAAACGACCCGU
Molecule: ribosomal RNA, 604 nt
Filed under: Russula sp. 12 KA-2019
Lineage: Eukaryota; Fungi; Basidiomycota; Agaricomycetes; Russulales; Russulaceae
Description: partial large subunit ribosomal RNA
Rfam family: Eukaryotic large subunit ribosomal RNA
Source: RNAcentral